RNAcentral lists this long non-coding RNA (1937 nucleotides) under Pan troglodytes (chimpanzee). Its description in RNAcentral is "long non-coding RNA NONPTRT004578". Lineage: Eukaryota; Metazoa; Chordata; Mammalia; Primates; Hominidae. The record is from RNAcentral.
AUAGAUCCCAAAUAUUAUUUCAAUGUGUAAUCAAUAUAAAAAUUAUCGAGAUAGUUUACAUUCUCUUUUUGUCCCCUCAGUGAGUCCCGAGUCUUCAAAAUCGAGUGUGUAUUUUGCACUUCCAGCACAUCUCCAUUUGUGCUGGCCACGUUUCAAUGCUCAGAAGCCACAUGUCAUAGUGGCCGUGGCACUGGGCAACGCAGACCUGACACGUCGGGUGCAUUCAGCAGGUGGAUUAGCAAGAGGCUGCCUGGCUGACCCCAGCUCUCAGAAGGGCUCUCAGGGUGACCUGCUCCGACUAUUGGGAGGUAAGUGCUUCCUGGAGGAAGGAGAAAAAGGAAAUUAAGGUAAAAGCGGUCACCCCAAAAAGAGCUUUUAUGGGGGCUUUUAUAUCCUGGGAGCAAUACAGGUUGUUUAAAAUGAGGUUUGAGAGGGACUGCAUUCUACAUGUGUUAACACUACAGGACAGCCUUGGUGAGCCAUUCUCACUGUGGAAUGAACUUGUCCCCCAAGAUCUGACAAGCUGGAAAUGACUGAAUAAUGGAAUUAAGGCCUUUAUCAACAGUUACAUUAGACCUUCGAAGAGACUAAUUACCAUAGUGUGUUCUGGAUCAUGUUUGAUCCAGAGGUGGACUCUGCCCAGGUCAUAGAGGAAGUUGGCACAGAUUACAAUCUUUGCAGGCCCCCAUUCUAAAAAAUGGUGUUCCCAAAGUUGCCGCAUUCAAUCGAUAUUUCGUGCCAUGCUGCUCAGUGCAGUGGACCAGUGGCUAAUAAACUUGUCCUUAUCCAUAAGCCACCGUAUUAGGUGACUCUGUCUGGGCCAGGAACCAAGGCGUGCUAUGAUUUCAGAGACUGGAUUCCUAUCACCUGGGGAAGAGACACGCUCUGGUGACGUAAGAAAGCGGAGAAAUCAACCAUCACCAAAACCUGCAGACUCUGAAAUUAAAGGAGAAAAUAUGCGUGCAGUUGGUUCAAUUGGCACCCAUUAAAGCUAAUAACUAAUCAUCCUCGCAAGUUUCUAGCUCAGAAUGAUCAAAUCUGCAAAGAAAACAACAUCCGUCCACUUUUACACUCCAGUGGAAGAGGUGGUCCCUCGCGGCAGGGCGGCACAGUCUCGCCAUCUGGAGAAUAAAUCGAGUGUGAAGUACAGUAUAGUUUGGGACCAAGCUCCGUGGCGGCAGCUCAGCAGUCAGUUCAUUAGUUCCAAACUUCCAGGGAUUAGAGCGGCAUCAAUUCUACUGUCGGAUAGGAUGAGACAGACAGGAUACGAGAUUCAAGGGGGAUUGUGACAACCAAGAGGAGCCCCUUGGGCUUAUUUAUAAAACUACAAAGUAUAAACAUACCCAAAUAAGUGCCUUAAAUAAUAGCAUUAUCACAGUUUCAUAACAUCUGAAUUAUCACCUUUCCCUUCGCCUCCCAGCCCCCGACUCAAACCUUGAAUGUUAAUGUAUAGUUGUUUUCAGAGGAAAUGGCAGAGACAGCCCUGGGUGCAACAGGAACAACGAGAAAGCUAUGUGCGACCCAAGAUUUGGUAAUUAAGAAAUAGGAAAGACUUUCUAGACUCCAGGGAGAUCCACAACAUUUGUGAUGAAAGAAAAGUACAAUGAAUAUUUUCAUCCUGCAAAAGGCAAUUGCCAUGCCACGUAUUCAAAAACGACAGUAAAUUCUAUCCCUUCUGAAUGUGUCCAUCUCAUCUGAUUUUCAUUUUAUCUAAUGUGUAAAAUGAUGUCAUGUCACGGGCAUGAAGUGGUCCAAAUUUUUAGCAGAAGGCCCCAGGAGCAUCUCUAUGAAAAUCUUAUUGAAAAUGUCAAGAUCAAGUUUGGUUUAAAAUAAAAAACGGAAUGAAUUUAUUCUAUUUAAGGACUGCCUUUUUCAUAUAACUUUUUAUCAAUUUGUAUUUAAAAACAGCAUUGCUUAGGACAUAGACCAUCCUCACC